AAUAUUGUGCCUGAUAAAAGGAAUAAACUGUAAAUUUAUUAAUGAAGAAUCAAUUCUUUCAAUAUUA
RNAcentral lists this transfer RNA (67 nucleotides) under Colletes gigas. Its description in RNAcentral is "tRNA-Tyr". It matches the Rfam family "tRNA". Rfam says of the family: Transfer RNA (tRNA) molecules are approximately 80 nucleotides in length. Their secondary structure includes four short double-helical elements and three loops (D, anti-codon, and T loops). The record is from RNAcentral. Lineage: Eukaryota; Metazoa; Arthropoda; Insecta; Hymenoptera; Colletidae.